GCAAACUUGGUCAUUUAGAGGAAGUAAAAGUCGUAACAAGGUUUCCGUAGGUGAACCUGCGGAAGGAUCAUUAUCGAGUCUUUGAAAGAAGUUGUAGCUGGCCUUAUGGGGCAUGUGCACGCUUCGCUCAAAUCCAACUCAUUUUUAACACCUGUGCACAUAUUGUAGGAUGGUUGAUACAAGGGAAGAACUCAGGUUCUUCUCGAGUUGUUGACGCCUUCCUAUGUUUCAUUUACACACUCAUUGUCGUAUCACGAAUGUUCUUUGCGCUUAAAUAACGCAUCAUAUAUAACUUUUAGCAACGGAUCUCUUGGCUCUCGCAUCGAUGAAGAACGCAGC
This 339-nucleotide unclassified non-coding RNA is filed under the name uncultured fungus. Its description in RNAcentral is "partial contains small subunit ribosomal RNA, internal transcribed spacer 1, and 5.8S ribosomal RNA". The stretch from base 1 to 73 matches the Rfam family "Eukaryotic small subunit ribosomal RNA", at positions 1759 to 1831 of the family's 1831-position model. The record is from RNAcentral. Lineage: Eukaryota; Fungi.